RNAcentral lists this transfer RNA (76 nucleotides) under Marmota monax (woodchuck). RNAcentral describes it as "tRNA.Ala". The record is from RNAcentral. Lineage: Eukaryota; Metazoa; Chordata; Mammalia; Rodentia; Sciuridae.
UGGGGUGUAGCUUAGAGGUAGGGUGCUAUCCAUGCCUAGCAUGUGUGGGACCUGGGUUCCAUCCCCAGCACUACAG